RNAcentral lists this long non-coding RNA (5411 nucleotides) under Sus scrofa (pig). RNAcentral describes it as "lncRNA (ENSSSCG00000060952.1)". The record is from RNAcentral. Lineage: Eukaryota; Metazoa; Chordata; Mammalia; Artiodactyla; Suidae.
CCCCCCAUCUUCUGCAGCAGGCUCUGCAGUGGAUUCCCAUUCCUCCUCUAUUUCAAUCCUGCUGUCCCUGGGAGAGACUGUAAGUUGCUACUUAUUUGAUUUAGGAAACAUGGGCUUAUUAGACCUCCUCCCCUCCUUCCUUCCAUGUUUCAGAUGGGGAUGGAGUAACAGCCCCAUGGGCACUCAGCUGGCCCUCACCCUGACCUCAGCAGGGAUGUUGACUUACACGUGCCCAGGGCAGCAAAUGGGAGGGGAAACAUGAGAAGACACAGAUCCUCACCAUAUCUGAAUGAGAACCACAUCCACUCUAGAAUGCGCCCCCCCACCCCAAUGCAGAGAAGGCUUGGUACAUAACCACACAUCACUGAGGGUAAAUAAGUUCUGGUUGUAAGAAUCCUACAUCCCUACUCCCCAUCUAUGUGCCCUCACCAGGAGUCUUUUGGAAAAAAGAAGCACAGUGAUGAUGAAUAGAUCCAGGCAGCAGUUUUAUCCAAGCAGUUGAUAUCUCAGUUGGUUAUCAACUGAGAAAUUUAAGCAGUGUGAAUUUCUCCUUCUCUUGAGUUCCAAGAGCGCACAGCAGGCAUCAUCAGUAUUUCUCUUUAUUGUGGUUCGUUUUCUCCCCUAAUACAUUUCUAUCUUUUCUGUUUAAAGGUAGGGGUAAUGUCUUAAGCAUUCUGUUCAGGAUCGAGCACAAUACAGGAGCUAGAGGUACCAUCUAGUAAGGCAACAGAGGUGCUCAAAAGAUGCUUGAAAGACAGAAGAAUGAACAAAUGCAUGAAUAUAUGAUCUACUGUUUCCUCUCCCAGCUCCAUGAUGUCCUGCCAAAGAUAAGCAGGAAAAAGAGAAGCCAUAAGUUCUGUAGUGAUUUUGACAUGGAACUACAUUCGGCCCAAAGCAUCUUUUUUCCUCUCUCUAUUUACUCUGGACAAUCUGUCCCUUAUCAGAUGAGCUUGAGGCUCCUUGGAAAUAUACGUAUUUUAUUUGAAAAUAUCAUCUUCUUCCAGUUUUGUUUUGCUGCACAGACAUUUGUCUGCUUUGCUGUGUGUUAUGCAUCAGAUAGGACUCAGACAAACAGCUUUGGCUUCCUAAACUGUUUUGUUUUCUCCAUUCGAUUAUUCUUUAUCUCAUUUCCCUUCCUGCAUCUCUCUCUUCCUCCCAAGUUUCAAUUCACCGACAAUGAGAGAGCACAAGUUCAUUGUUACUCAGCUUCACUGAGGGCUAGAAAGGGCACAGAAGUAAGAAGGUCUGAGAGUUAGUCCCCAUUUUCCGCUAACAAGCAGUAUGACCUUCCACAGAUCACCUUUUCUAUCUCAGACUACUUCUCCUUUGCAAAAUAAAGUCUGCUCUUGACUGCCACAGAAUCUAGGUGCAAUAGCUUGAAACUCUGUGGAUACCAGGUGCAAUAAGGGUUGUGCCAUUUUCCACAUCCAGUGCAACAGAGGAUGAAUCCUCAUCACUCUUGGCUUUGGUUCAAAGCAAUGGUCUGGUGUCCAUUGAAGCCCCCCUCACCCUCCUACCUCAGAUACUCACACCACACCCUGAGAUGCCCCCACCAGGGCAGCUUUAUGAGCCUGCGAUCUGAGCAGUUGCACAGGGCCUGGCAAGCAGAAGGGCACCAUGCUUGGUUUUACUCUGUUGCUGCCAUCUUGAAAGUCUUCAUAAUUUUUGAACAAGGGGCCUGUGUUUUCAUUUUGCGCUGGGGUCGCAAAUUAUGUAGCUAAUCUUGCCCCUCUUCUUCCACCACUCCUCCUCCAAAUCAUAGAACUAGGAAGCAUUAGGAAGAGGGAUACGAUGGUACUGCUUUGCCAGCCACAAUCGCCCCAACACAGAGCCUUGCCAUGGAAUUCCCUCCUUUAUAAAUAUAAAACCCAAAACCCAAGAAAGGACAAGGUGGGAGAACAAGAAACUGGCCGCAGGCCCCACCCCUAUCGACCUUCUCCAUCUUGGUAGCUAUGGGGCCCUGACUCAUGCCAGGGUGUGGUUCACUAUUCCUGCCAAGCACGGGGCUCCUCCCUGCUUGUAGGGCUCAGGAAGAAACGUGGGUUGCUCUGGUGUGGAUGUGGAACCACCUAGACCCCACCCAACAUCACAGAGCUGGGCGGGAUCUUAGUGCAGAAUGCAGGCUACUGUCACAAUUCACAUUCUUUAUCAGUGAAACAAACCACCAAAGAUUAGAGAAUGGAUUGACCCAACUUCACACUGUUAGCCAGCUUCCCAGGCUGCUCUCCGCAUCAAUUCUCUUUGGAUCCAUUCCCCUUUCUACAUAUUUGAGAUCCACAGAGAAAAAAUCUACUCCUCUGUCACACAGAUAACCAGUCCACACUCAGUGUGGAGACCAGCAGAUUCUGAUGCUCAAUUUAAAUGGGUCAAGUUAAAUUAAAGAUGCCCUUGAUAUUUUAAAACUCCAGGAAGACAAAAUGAUUACCAGUGGCUCUUUUCUCUUAUCCCAAGCUCUUCUGAUAGCCUGACUCAUUUCACAGGUCUCAGCAGGAAAGAAAUCAAAGGAGGAGGUGAACCUUGACAAAAAUUAAACAUGUAAAUAAAGAAAUGUGUGAUCAACUACAAUGCAAAUGAGACAAGCCUUUGAAACAUUGAGACUCCAAGGAAAAGAGGAAGGGCACUAGUUAGGAUGAAAGGUACUAUAUAUCAAUGUAGGCCUGGAGAGUUACUCCUGAGUCCCAGCUCACUAACUCUCUGGGUGAUUCUGGGCAAGUGUAUCUCUGGGAAAUUUCUCUCCCUGGCCUUUGGCUUCCUGGUCAACAGCAUGAAGAAGAUUGGACACACUCAAGGAGUCCUUUCCAGGCCUGGCUUUCUGGGGUUCUAAGUGUCACUUGUAAUCACCUCUAUAUCAAAGACUGAUUUGCAGGGUAAAAUGACAUUUUAGGACCCACGUUGGCAUAGCAAAAAAAUGGAAGAAGUGAGAGAACUCAAUUUAAAAGAUUGAGUACUUGAGUCUCUGUCAUGGCUCAGGGCUAAUGAAACUGACUAGUAUCCAUGAGGAUGUAGGUUCAAUCCCUGGCCUCGCUCAGUGGGUUAAGGAUCCGGUGUUGCCAUGAGCUGUGGUGUAGGUCACAGAUGUGGCUUGGAUAUGGUAUGGCUGUGGCUGCGGCUAUGGCUGGCAGCUGCAGCUCCAAUCCAACCCCUAGCUUGGGAACUUCCAUAUGCCAUUGGUCUGGCCCUAAAAAGACAAAAAAUAAAAAGUUGAGUUCUGACUAUAGGAAGUGACACCGAGAAGAAAUUGCUAUAGAAUUCUUCUAAUGUCAAAGUGAGAAGAAUACAACUCUGAGUGACAGAGUAUAUGGGUGAGGGAGUGAUCCUAUUAUCCAAGGCGAGGCCCUGGGCAAUGGAGACCCCACUCCAAAGUGACUCAGUUUGGACUGACCCCCACCCCAAGUACAAUCACUUGAACAGUUAUUCUGCUCUGUUGGGAUAUGUGAAGAAUGAAGAACAAGUAGACUUUAAGGCCAGGCCAUGUUCCUGAGGGAAUAGCACACUAGGUCAAGGAGGGUGUUCUUAAUUUUCACCUUUAUUAUAUUGUGGGGACCAUGUUCCAUGAUUGUCUUGACAUUUGAUGAGUUCCUGUGAGCUGCGACCAAACUGCAAAGAGACAGCCUUGAAUAUCCCCUCCAGGUCCCAUCAGGAAGGGCAGGGGUUGUUCCCUUUGCCUGACUUAGACCUUGACCCAGCUGCACUCCCACAACAUAAAGGAGUAGGCAUGUCGGUAUCAGCCCGUGGCAUCUGGACCAAAGCCAGUCCCGCAGUGUGGGCUUCAUGACCCCAGCCUCAGGCCAGACAUUUACCCCAGGGCCUUCUUUAGUGCAGGGUCCAGGAAAGACAACCCCGAAGCUAAUGUCUGAUGUGUAGGCAGUCUCUGCACCAUCUGCCCCAGAACUUUUCAUUAAAAAUGCCUAUUUUCAGAGUUCCCAUCAUGGCGCAGCAGAAACAGAUCCGACUAAGAACUGUGAGGUUGCAGGUUCAAUCCCUGGCCUUGCUCAGUGGGUUAAGGAUCGGGCAUUGUCAUGAGCUGUGGUGUAGGUCACAGACGCAGCUCAGAUCCCGUGUUGCUGUGGCUAUGGUGUAGGCCGGCAGCUGUAGCUCCGAUUAGACCCCUGGCCUGGGAACCUCCAUAUGCGGCAGGUGCAGCCCUAGAAAAGACAAAAAAAUGCCUAUUCUCAGGCCCCAUUCUUGAUCUGCUAAAUGAGAAGCCCUGUUGCAGGGCUGGUGCUGGGCCCAGGAAUUUCCAUGUUAAGAGGUCCUGCCAGAGGACUGUUCUUCACAUAAAAGUCUGAGAAGUAGAGUGUUACACUGUCCCAACCUACUGUCAGAAAACUCAGAAAUGGAAUAGGUUGUGAAAAGCCCAGAGGCAGAAGCUCAGAGAAGGUAUCAGGCCUCACAGCAAGGAGGCAGUAGGCAAAGCCAUGUGGCAGGGUGAUAGGCAGAGGGGACUACGUGGUAAAAUUAGAGGACAAAACGAAUUUGUACCUAGAUGACCCACAGCCCUUCCAUGUCUGUCCUGCUCCCAACUGUAGGAUAUGAGAGCUCCUAGGUGAACUCUGAGUUUCCACAUUCCCCAUCCCAAAUUCUAAUAGCUGGAUACCGGUUCUCUCACUGCCUGAUUAUACACAAGAGAGGUGCUUGCUUCACAACAAUAACAAGAAAUAAAAAAGAUGCAAGGGACAGGGACCAGAGUCACCCGAAUGAUGAAAAAGUUCACAGAGAAAGCCUGAAGGCUCUUGUGAAGGGAAGGAGUUUAGCCAGCCAUCCAUGCUUCCAGAGAUGCUCUCUGCCAUACGCAGAGUAUGGGGCCAGUGAGGACAAGCUCCAGCUCCUGAGAGUUUUCUUAAAGCACCUAGGUGACGUGGGAACUGCAGAGGGAACCUGCCACACAACAUGCCAUAUCCGUUUUCAGAGGGUGUCAACACCCUCCUUCCCACACCUGCUGUUCCCAAAUAUCACAACCUGAUUUUUUUCUCCAGCCUCCUGUCUUGAUGACGAUGAUUAAAUAUUCAUGGAAUGCUGUGAUGCCAGCAUACUUUGUGAAAUUUCAGAUACCUUUUUUUUCAAACGGAAGUUUUUUUUUCCCAUUUCAGAUUAUCCCGAUGUUGAAGAGAGGUAAAAAGAAUGACAAACACCAGUGACUCGGAAAGUAGAAACUGAAGGAAAAGAGCUAGCAUCCUAAGUUUUUUCAAUCGUGUUUCAAGCCCAAAGGGUCCCACAUUAAGAAGAGAAAGAAGGCACAGAAUCUAGAAAAACAGAGACAUCGAGGAGUUGUUCAUGCUACAAAGGAAUUUUUCAUUUUACCUUGAGGUCCAUUUAACAAAAUCCCCAACUCUGGGUAAAGUACAAAUAAAUUCCUUAUAUAUGUAUUUAUUUAUCAUUUAAUUAAUUACUACACAAAGCUCACCUUAUUU